Molecule: ribosomal RNA, 1116 nt
Filed under: Triticum aestivum (bread wheat)
Lineage: Eukaryota; Viridiplantae; Streptophyta; Magnoliopsida; Poales; Poaceae
Description: partial small subunit ribosomal RNA
Source: RNAcentral
AUGGACGGGAGCGGUACCAGCGAUGGCGGGGACGGCGGCGGGUCGCUCCGGCCGAUGGACGCGGAGCAGCUGCGGGAGUGCGGGCACCGGAUGGUGGAUUUCAUCGCCGAUUACUACAAAUCCAUGGAGACAUUUCCCGUCCUCAGCCAAGUCCAGCCAGGAUAUCUAAAGGAACUUCUUCCAGAUUCAGCUCCUAACCAACCUGAUACUUUGGAUGCCCUUUUUGACGAUAUUCGUGAGAAGAUGAUACCUGGAGUAACUCAUUGGCAAAGUCCAAGUUAUUUUGCAUACUAUCCCUCAAAUAGCAGCACUGCUGGAUUCCUGGGGGAGAUGCUUAGUGCUGCCUUUAACAUCGUUGGCUUCAGUUGGAUAACCUCUCCUGCUGCAACUGAGCUAGAGGUUAUAGUCUUAGAUUGGUUUGCAAAAAUGCUUAAGCUUCCAAGCCAAUUUCUGUCAGAUGUGCCUGGUGGAGGAGUAAUCCAGGGUACUGCCAGUGAAGCAGUUCUUGUUGUACUAUUGGCUGCACGAGAUAGAACUUUAAAGAAGCAUGGGAAAAAAUCCCUUGAAAAGUUAGUAGUUUAUGCAUCUGAUCAGACACAUUCUGCUCUGCAAAAGGCAUGCCAGAUUGCAGGAAUUUUCCCAGAGAACUUCAGAGUUGUCAAAGCUGACUGUAGUAAGAACUAUGCUGUUGCACCUGAAGCGGUGACAGAGGCCAUUUCCAUUGACUUGUCAUCUGGCUUGAUACCAUUCUUCAUCUGUGCAACAGUAGGCACAACAUCUUCAUCGGCCGUGGACCCCUUGCCUGAACUAGGAAACAUAGCACAGGGCCAUGACAUGUGGUUCCACAUUGAUGCUGCAUAUGCUGGAAGUGCUUGUAUAUGCCCAGAGUAUCGACAUCAUCUUGAUGGAGUGGAAAAAGCUGAUUCAUUCAAUAUGAAUGCACACAAAUGGUUCCUCACAAACUUCGACUGUUCUUUGCUAUGGGUUAAGGACAGGAGUUAUCUUGUGGAAGCAUUGUCUACAAAUCCAGAGUUUCUUAAGAAUAAGGCUUCCCAAGCAAAUUCUGUUGUUGAUUUCAAGGAUUGGCAAAUUCCACUUGGUCGUCGUUUUAGGUGA